Non-coding RNA from Caenorhabditis remanei, 83 nucleotides. The record is from Rfam. Lineage: Eukaryota; Metazoa; Nematoda; Chromadorea; Rhabditida; Rhabditidae.
CGGAUGUUGAGGUAGGCUCAGUAGAUGCGAUCAGAGUUGUGCCUCAGGCGUUCCUCACAUCUUCUUGCCUAACUCGCCUUCCU